AGCGUACACGGUGGAUGCCCUGGCAGUCAGAGGCGAUGAAGGACGUGCUAAUCUGCGAUAAGCGUCGGUAAGGUGAUAUGAACCGUUAUAACCGGCGAUUUCCGAAUGGGGAAACCCAGUGUGUUUCGACACACUAUCAUUAACUGAAUCCAUAGGUUAAUGAGGCGAACCGGGGGAACUGAAACAUCUAAGUACCCCGAGGAAAAGAAAUCAACCGAGAUUCCCCCAGUAGCGGCGAGCGAACGGGGAGCAGCCCAGAGCCUGAAUCAGUGUGUGUGUUAGUGGAAGCGUCUGGAAAGGCGCGCGAUACAGGGUGACAGCCCCGUACACAAAAAUGCACAUGCUGUGAGCUCGAUGAGUAGGGCGGGACACGUGGUAUCCUGUCUGAAUAUGGGGGGACCAUCCUCCAAGGCUAAAUACUCCUGACUGACCGAUAGUGAACCAGUACCGUGAGGGAAAGGCGAAAAGAACCCCGGCGAGGGGAGUGAAAAAGAACCUGAAACCGUGUACGUACAAGCAGUGGGAGCACGCUUCGGCGUGUGACUGCGUACCUUUUGUAUAAUGGGUCAGCGACUUAUAUUCUGUAGCAAGGUUAACCGAAUAGGGGAGCCGAAGGGAAACCGAGUCUUAACUGGGCGUUAAGUUGCAGGGUAUAGACCCGAAACCCGGUGAUCUAGCCAUGGGCAGGUUGAAGGUUGGGUAACACUAACUGGAGGACCGAACCGACUAAUGUUGAAAAAUUAGCGGAUGACUUGUGGCUGGGGGUGAAAGGCCAAUCAAACCGGGAGAUAGCUGGUUCUCCCCGAAAGCUAUUUAGGUAGCGCCUCGUGAAUUCAUCUCCGGGGGUAGAGCACUGUUUCGGCAAGGGGGUCAUCCCGACUUACCAACCCGAUGCAAACUGCGAAUACCGGAGAAUGUUAUCACGGGAGACACACGGCGGGUGCUAACGUCCGUCGUGAAGAGGGAAACAACCCAGACCGCCAGCUAAGGUCCCAAAGUCAUGGUUAAGUGGGAAACGAUGUGGGAAGGCCCAGACAGCCAGGAUGUUGGCUUAGAAGCAGCCAUCAUUUAAAGAAAGCGUAAUAGCUCACUGGUCGAGUCGGCCUGCGCGGAAGAUGUAACGGGGCUAAACCAUGCACCGAAGCUGCGGCAGCGACGCUGAUGCGUUGUUGGGUAGGGGAGCGUUCUGUAAGCCUGCGAAGGUGUGCUGUGAGGCAUGCUGGAGGUAUCAGAAGUGCGAAUGCUGACAUAAGUAACGAUAAAGCGGGUGAAAAGCCCGCUCGCCGGAAGACCAAGGGUUCCUGUCCAACGUUAAUCGGGGCAGGGUGAGUCGACCCCUAAGGCGAGGCCGAAAGGCGUAGUCGAUGGGAAACAGGUUAAUAUUCCUGUACUUGGUGUUACUGCGAAGGGGGGACGGAGAAGGCUAUGUUGGCCGGGCGACGGUUGUCCCGGUUUAAGCGUGUAGGCUGGUUUUCCAGGCAAAUCCGGAAAAUCAAGGCUGAGGCGUGAUGACGAGGCACUACGGUGCUGAAGCAACAAAUGCCCUGCUUCCAGGAAAAGCCUCUAAGCAUCAGGUAACAUCAAAUCGUACCCCAAACCGACACAGGUGGUCAGGUAGAGAAUACCAAGGCGCUUGAGAGAACUCGGGUGAAGGAACUAGGCAAAAUGGUGCCGUAACUUCGGGAGAAGGCACGCUGAUAUGUAGGUGAGGUCCCUCGCGGAUGGAGCUGAAAUCAGUCGAAGAUACCAGCUGGCUGCAACUGUUUAUUAAAAACACAGCACUGUGCAAACACGAAAGUGGACGUAUACGGUGUGACGCCUGCCCGGUGCCGGAAGGUUAAUUGAUGGGGUCAGCGCAAGCGAAGCUCUUGAUCGAAGCCCCGGUAAACGGCGGCCGUAACUAUAACGGUCCUAAGGUAGCGAAAUUCCUUGUCGGGUAAGUUCCGACCUGCACGAAUGGCGUAAUGAUGGCCAGGCUGUCUCCACCCGAGACUCAGUGAAAUUGAACUCGCUGUGAAGAUGCAGUGUACCCGCGGCAAGACGGAAAGACCCCGUGAACCUUUACUAUAGCUUGACACUGAACAUUGAGCCUUGAUGUGUAGGAUAGGUGGGAGGCUUGGAAGUGUGGACGCCAGUCUGCAUGGAGCCGACCUUGAAAUACCACCCUUUAAUGUUUGAUGUUCUAACGUUGACCCGUAAUCCGGGUUGCGGACAGUGUCUGGUGGGUAGUUUGACUGGGGCGGUCUCCUCCUAAAGAGUAACGGAGGAGCACGAAGGUUGGCUAAUCCUGGUCGGACAUCAGGAGGUUAGUGCAAUGGCAUAAGCCAGCUUGACUGCGAGCGUGACGGCGCGAGCAGGUGCGAAAGCAGGUCAUAGUGAUCCGGUGGUUCUGAAUGGAAGGGCCAUCGCUCAACGGAUAAAAGGUACUCCGGGGAUAACAGGCUGAUACCGCCCAAGAGUUCAUAUCGACGGCGGUGUUUGGCACCUCGAUGUCGGCUCAUCACAUCCUGGGGCUGAAGUAGGUCCCAAGGGUAUGGCUGUUCGCCAUUUAAAGUGGUACGCGAGCUGGGUUUAGAACGUCGUGAGACAGUUCGGUCCCUAUCUGCCGUGGGCGCUGGAGAACUGAGGGGGGCUGCUCCUAGUACGAGAGGACCGGAGUGGACGCAUCACUGGUGUUCGGGUUGUCAUGCCAAUGGCACUGCCCGGUAGCUAAAUGCGGAAGAGAUAAGUGCUGAAAGCAUCUAAGCACGAAACUUGCCCCGAGAUGAGUUCUCCCUGACUCCUUGA
Molecule: ribosomal RNA, 2787 nt
Filed under: Escherichia coli
Lineage: Bacteria; Pseudomonadati; Pseudomonadota; Gammaproteobacteria; Enterobacterales; Enterobacteriaceae
Description: bacterial LSU rRNA
Rfam family: Bacterial large subunit ribosomal RNA
Source: RNAcentral